GGGAGUAUAGCUCAGUGGUAGAGCGUUCCACUGUAGAUCGAGAGGUCCCCGGUUCGAAUCCGUGUGUUUUCU
RNAcentral lists this transfer RNA (72 nucleotides) under Diabrotica virgifera virgifera (western corn rootworm). Its description in RNAcentral is "transfer RNA tyrosine (anticodon GUA)". It matches the Rfam family "tRNA". From Rfam's summary of the family: Transfer RNA (tRNA) molecules are approximately 80 nucleotides in length. Their secondary structure includes four short double-helical elements and three loops (D, anti-codon, and T loops). Lineage: Eukaryota; Metazoa; Arthropoda; Insecta; Coleoptera; Chrysomelidae. The record is from Rfam by way of RNAcentral.